UCAGAUGGCUGGAUGGCUGCUGCUCUUUUUUCGUAAAAGAGGAGAGGAAAGUCCGGGCUCCACAGGAUCAGGAUGCCGGGUAACGCCCGGCGGGGGCAACCCUAGGGAAAGUGCCACAGAAAAGAUACCGCCAUGGCGUGCCAUGGUAAGGGUGAAAUGGUGCGGUAAGAGCGCACCGCCGGUCUGGUAACAGAACGGGCAUGGUAAACCCCAUCCGGAGCAA
RNAcentral lists this RNase P RNA (223 nucleotides) under Puniceispirillum sp. (SeqCode). RNAcentral describes it as "partial RNase P RNA component class A". It matches the Rfam family "Bacterial RNase P class A", at positions 1 to 225 of the family's 367-position model. From Rfam's summary of the family: Ribonuclease P (RNase P) is a ubiquitous endoribonuclease, found in archaea, bacteria and eukarya as well as chloroplasts and mitochondria. Its best characterised activity is the generation of mature 5'-ends of tRNAs by cleaving the 5'-leader elements of precursor-tRNAs. The record is from RNAcentral. Lineage: Bacteria; Pseudomonadati; Pseudomonadota; Alphaproteobacteria; Puniceispirillales (SeqCode); Puniceispirillaceae (SeqCode).